This 35309-nucleotide long non-coding RNA is filed under the name Gossypium barbadense (sea-island cotton). RNAcentral describes it as "long non-coding RNA (GBAR_LNC016656)". The stretch from base 22360 to 22404 matches the Rfam family "Histone 3' UTR stem-loop". The record is from RNAcentral. Lineage: Eukaryota; Viridiplantae; Streptophyta; Magnoliopsida; Malvales; Malvaceae.
AGAGUUUGCAAAUUGGGCGCAUUUAGUUGUUUAGAGCUACCUUGAGCAACAAUAAUUGGAAAGAGAGAUUUCAAGCUUUCACAUUCCAAGAUAUCAAUUAGAAUCAGAUUUGGAAAGCAAAUAGGUAGGGGAUGAUGUUGUGAUGAUGUUUGAUCUUGCUCCAAUUCCUCAUAUUUACAUAAAUGUAAAUUGCUCAAUUGUUCAUUUGUCAUCUUCCCAAACACCAGUUCCUAUAAACAUAUCAUCAAUUUUCAAUUUCAAAAUGUUCAAAGAUGUCAACAACCAACUUAACGUUUCAUCAAUUAAUUUCCUUACAAAAAAAAUAUUUUACGUUAAAUUAAUAUGAUACUCCAAAAAUGUGGUACAGAAACAGUCAUAAAUAAUAUUACAUAAUCUGUACAUAUAAAUUAUUGGAUAGGUGUAACAACGCAAUUGGGAAUUGCUUAAACUCAUUUUCAUAUAUUAAUACAAAAAUAAAAAACCACCUAUGUAAAAGGUUAUAUUUAAAAAUACAAAUUCUAAAAUCAUCCAUAAUUCCUUCCCACAUUUAAAUAGAGAGAUAAACAUGCUUGAGUGCGCUCGAACCCACAUCCUCCUAUUCACACAAUAAUAUCAAUACCAACCAAACUAAAAUUUAUAUAUAAUUUUAUAUAGCUUAUUUUUGUUUACCGACUUAAUAGUAUAAUAUUUUUUUUUGAUAAUCAACUAAUUUGUUUAAAAGGUUAUUUAGAUUAGUUUUAGACCAAAGUUAUAAAAUAAAAUCUAUCUUUUAAACAACUAUUCAAACAACAAAUUAUUAAAAAAAAAGAAACAAAUAAAUAAAUAAUAUAAAACAAAAGGAAAAAUCUUACUUGUAUCGUAGUCGAAAUAAUAAAAUAUAUCAAUCGAGGAUAAUUGUGCACUUUUAACUUCUGCAAAGAUAAUUGUGUGAGCAUAAUGUCGUUCACAUCCCUUUCUUUCAAUUGAGGCAAAUUAAUCAACGAAACCUAAAAUGAAAAGCAUAAUCAAAUUUCCCAAUCUUUGACCAUGGGAUAAUAAGGAAAAAAAAUGUCAAGUUAUUGCAGUGAGAUACACAUACUUCCUUUAGACUUUGGAGUAGACAUUUGUAUGCCACUUGUCGGUCUUGGAUUAUAUCUUCCAAUUGCGUGCAACUCAUUAUCUUCAAAGUAUGCAGUUGCCCAAGGCUAUUAGCAACACACAUUGGGAAGAUAUAUUUCAAAUUAUUGCAUCUCUGUAUUUCAACAAUCUUCAGACUUUGGAGGCUUAAAUAACGACUGGCCCUUCUUGUUCUAUGCUCCUCAAUUCAGCAAUUGGGAAUAACACUUGCAUCUCACCACAAUCUGAAACUAUAACCUCUUCAAGCUUUUGUAGAAAACCUUGCGGCUGGGGAGCAUUGCACAUCUCUUCCAAAUGAAACAUAUGACUUAAUGAUAACUUUCUCAAAUUAGAGAGUGCAGUGAUUGGCACUUGCUGCUUUGAUGCAUCAAUUAGGCAUUGCAUAGAGUGGCACUGUCGAAGAUCUAGAGAAGUCAACUUUCUAAAUCCCAAGUCCAAGCUCGGAAUAAGGUUUGGGUGACCCUCCACAUCACCCAAUUCAAGAGAUUCUACAUCUUCAAGCAGUUGCUUGCAUGCAUCUACAGACUUAUCGAUUCUCAAAGAUCUUGAGAUUGGCCAAGUUUCAAGGUCCCUCUUUCGGUACCGCAGUUCUCUUUUUAUGCCAAUGCAAACAUCAAAGCUCCAUAAUCUACGAAGCACAAAGCCAUCUUUAAGAUGUUCAGAAGAAAUAUCCAAUGAUAUUACAGCCAACUUUGGCAAUGAAUUCAACUCUGAUAGGCUGGAAUAGCUUUCCACUUUAGUUGAAUUCUCAGUCGCCCAUUUUAAGGAACUACAACCAUGCAAGUAUAGUUCUUCUAAAUCGGACAAUCUUUGUAUUAAAUUAGGAGGGAAUCCUUCAAGGUUAUAGCAAUACGAUGAAUCCAACCGUCUUAGAUUUUCUAGAUCACCAGCUUCAGUCGAUAAUUCAAUGAUAUCAGAUCCACUUAAAGAGAGAAUAUGAAGUGACUUCAGCUUCCCAAGCAUCGAGAUGUCAGAGAGUUGACAAUCAAUCAAACACAGAGUUCGAAGGUUCAUAUUCAACUUAAAUGCAGCUAGAGAUAUCGAUUGAUCUUUCAAAGCACAAACUUGUAAUGCCUUCAUACCCUCAAAGAAUUCGCUUGAAGUUUCCACGAAACUACCAAGUAAAAGAAGUUUGAGGUAUGGAAAACCCACUCCUUUAGGCAGUUCAUCCGUUUGAUCAGUUUCGAAGGAGAUUGCUGUGUAAUGCUUGAAACUUUCAUCCAUCGGGAGUGUUUCAACAGUCCCAAAAGAAAUCUCCUCUCUUGAAGAUGCUAUCCACAAAGCAAAUUCGCGAACCACAUCAUGCAUUUUGACAUGCCUUUCUCCGCAAUCUAGCAACAAACCGGAGUUCUUGAGGGUCUCAAUUGAUGCAAGCACUUCACUUCUAACAUCUUUAAUUGAGUCCAUGCCUUUAUACAACUCCAGUCCCCAUGCAUAUCCUACCAAGUUCUCCACAUAAAUCUCAUCAUCUUCAGGAAAUAAACAGCACAACAAGAAACAUGUCUUGGUCUCCAUAUUCUUCAAGUAGUCGAAGCUCGCCUCAAGACAUACAUAGGCAUUUUCUUCAUUAACAUCCUCAAUUUCAGUCAAUCUACGAUCUUCGAGUCUCCGGUGUGCGGCUUGCCACCAAUGAUGGGUUUUACCUUUCAAGGCACUGCCCAGCGGAACUAUAGCUAUAGGCAAACCCCCGCAUUUUUUGACAAUUUGAUUUGCUAGGAUUUUAAUAGAAUCAUCAGAAGAGCCAUCUAGACCUGCUUGGGUACUUCAAAAUCAAACUACACUUUCUGUUGAGAAGAUUCUUAAUUACCACUUCAAAUCAAUCAAAUGGGAUUUGAAGGUUGGUUUUUUUUUUCUUUUUUUGAGCAAAAGAACUUGAAGAUAUUUUUUAUCUUUAAGGAAAGGGAAAUAAAAAAACAAGAAAUAGAAAUAGAAAUCAAGGUUGAACUAAAAUAAGGAGAAACCUUCACAAAGAAAUUGAAGUUGAUCUGCCUCGAAAAUUCAACAAACUGGGUUUUCUUGAUUUUGUAGCCAAAGGAUUUGUGCUAUGAGAUUACUGCAAUAUUGGGAUCUAAAUUAAUGAAGUUGGUACUGUUUGGUUUGCUAAUGGCCCCAUGCAUUCAUUUUGCAAUUAAGACCAACAAAGACAUGACAGGAUAGGAGAUAACUUCCAAAAAGGUAAGUCUUUGGGCCAUAUUUUUACCCUGGUUUGCUCUAUUAGAAAAGGGUUAAUUACAUUAAGCAUCCUUAAAUUGUGACCAUCAAUUUAAAUUGGUCCUUAAACAUUAGAUUAUUCUAAUUACAUCCCUAAUUUAUCGAUGAUAUAUCAAUCGAGUCCUUUUGUUAUUACAAUAGUUAAAUGACAUAUCAAAUCUUACAUAGCUAAAUUUAAAAUAAAAAUUUUAAAUAAAUAGAAUUGUGUUACAUAACUUUUAAAAUUAAAAACAAAAAUUAAGUAAAACUAAUUUUUUUUUUUAAAAAGUGAUAAUAAAAUUUCCAUUUCAAAAACCUCAAAACUAAAGUUUUUAAAACAUUUAUUUUUAUAAUAUUCAUUUUUUAAAAUUUUCAUUUUAAAUUAUUAUGUCACAUUAGAUGUAACAUGUCAUUUAAUGAUUAAAUUGGGUAAAACGACCUUUCUAGUCCAUCUCAAUUUUGAUAUUGAGAAAAUUUGUCUCUCUAAAAAAAUCGAACCAAUCUAAUCCCUAUCAAUUUCGAAAGUGACCGAAUAAGGACAAUUUUCAUAAAUUUGAUUGGUAUAAUAACAAAUUUAGCUCUCAAAGUUAACACAUUCUAUCAAUUUAGUCAUGAUUUAAUAAAUUCAGCUCGCAAUAUUUUUAUAAACAUGUAAAUAUUAAGACUAAAUUUAUUAUUUUUUUUAAAAUCAAGACGAAACUAACAAAAUUACAAUUUAUUCAUAGAUAUUUUCAAAUUUUUUUGUUGAAGAUAUAUUUUAUUAAUUCAUAGAUAUACAAAAUAAAAAUAUGGUCUCGCCUGAAAAUCUAUAAAUCUUGAUUAAUAUAUUUGAUUAAUUCAUAUAUUUUAAAAAAUCAUGGAUUUGGCAAUUUUAAAACAAUCAUGGAUUUCAAUUUAAUCAUAGAUAUUUUCAUAUAUUCUUUUGUUGUGACCCAAGUAAAUGGAAAAUAUACUCACUUACCACUUCAAAAUGAAGUAAAGAUUCCAAGAAUUUGAGUGUGGAUAAGAAAAUUCCAAACAGUCUUUUUAGCUCUGUUUUAGUUCAAGAAAAACAUAAAAAGAUAAUAUUAGAUGAAGAAAUAUAUAACAAAUUUAUAUAUAGAAAAUCACAAUUAAACUUGGCGGUUGGUUUGCCAAUGGCCCCAUGCAUUUGUUUUGCAAUUAAAGACUUGACAGGACAAGAGAGGAGACAACUAGAAAAGUGUGAAAGUCUUUGGGUCAGUUUUCACUUUUUCACCGUUACAAAAUUAUACAUUUAUGUUUUUCAUAUUUGUUUCAUUUGAAGCGUCUUUCAAGAAAAAAAAAUAUUUUUUUCUUCUUAUUUUUCAUUUGCUAUCAGGAAUGAAGAAGAGUUUUCUUUAUUCAAAGUGAUUUUUCUAUUAUUUUGCAAAUUCUAGAGAUAAAUUUCCAAUGUUUAUGUUAUAUAACUAGUUUUUUUCUUCAAAAUUAACAAUGAAUAGAAUAUACUUUUUUGAAAUUUCAUACCAAGUCAUGGAUUUGGUAUCUUCAACAAAAUGUUGAGCUUUACAUAACAUGUUCUAUUGUCAUUUUGGUAUUUCUUUCUGUAAUCAAAAUAAUGUAUGAAAGAUAAAAUAUAUAAUUAAUGCAUCACUUUUUAGAAAAUUUUAAGCAAGGAUCAUUAACGGUCUCAAUUGUAACAGCCCAGUUUAGACUCUAGUCGGAUAGUGAUUUCUGGACCACAAAUUCGAGUUAAAAAAAUUUUAAUAUUAUUUUUCGCACUUAAAGUAUGUGCAUUAGUAUGUGUGAAAUUUUUGUGAUUUAAUUUAUUCGUUUGUGUGUUUAAUUUGAUAAAAAGGAUUUAAUUGCGUAAAGUGAAAAUUUUGAGGUCUAUUUGUUAAAGGCAUUAAAUUGAUAUAAAAUGGAAAUGUGGAGCACUUGCAUGUCAAUUAUUCCAUUAAUAAUAGUGGUGGACAAGACCAGGUUAGGUGAAUUUUUUUAUGUUAAGUUAUUAAGGACAAAAUAGUAAAUGAUGUUUUAAUGUUUAUUAAAUUAAAAUAAAAAUGCAUUAGUGGCCAUUUUGGUGUUCAUCUUGCCGAAUGUUGAAGAAAGAAUACCCAUGGAAGCAUUUUAGGUUUCGCUACAUUCAUAGCUAGAUUAAGAUCAAGAAAAGAGGAAAUCAGAAUUGGAUCGGGGGAAAUCAACAGUGAUCGAAUAGUCGUUCCAGUCUGUUUGUCUUCGUCUGAGGUAAGUUCAUAAGUAAAUAAUUGCCGGUAAUUUGAAUAUAUAUGUAUUAUAAAUGCUGAAUUAUUUUAUGCGUGGGAGAAUUGUUUAUGAGUUGAUACGAUUGAAUUAAAACAUCUAAUAGCCCCGUACGAACCAUAGGAUUUUGAUAUGUGAUUUUGUGUAAGACCACGUCUGGGACGUUGGCAUCGAUUUGAGAUUUACGUGAUAUAGAAUUGAUUUCUCUAUUUUAUUUAAAUACAAGUAUUGCAUAGAAUUGGGUAGAAAAGUAUAAACGAAAGCAAGACUCGAUUGAGAAGCUGUUAUUUCAUUUUAUCAAUUCAUGAUAGUUGAUAAAAUCAUAUAUACAAUUCGACUGUAAAGUCAUAUAAUUAUAAAUUGGAAGGAUAUAUUUCAUUACACAGAUAAAUAUAAUUCUAAUGAUUAAAAUUAAUUAAACUAAGUCUAUGUACUUUUUAUUAAUUUAUUUAAAUUUGAAAAUAAUUAAAAUUAAAAACUACCCAUAGUAAUUGUUAAGUUUUUAUCUCUACUAAAUUUUGGUUUAUUGAGUUAGAGUGACACUAUGACUCGCUCUCAUAUAUAUAGAUUAUAGAUGAUAGAUUAUAUAUAUUAUAUAUAACGCAUUUGAUUAAAUUGGUGUCACGAGUUAAUUAGACACUAAUUCGAAUCGUAAAAUAAUUAAAAUACCUUUACUUUAAAAAAUAACUAAUAUUAUUUUAAUAUUAAUAUAAAGGUAUUUUUAUCUUUUCAUACUUUUAUUUAAUAUUCAAAUAAAACAACUUAAAAAUAUUACUUAAGAAUCAAACACAAAACCAGUUGAAAUAUUUUUAUAAAUAUACUUUUAAUAUAAAAUAUUUCCGUUUGUGAUAAAGUCUAGUAGAUAUAGAGUUUCUCUAUUUUAUUUAAUGAAAUGAACUUUAUAGCUUUUAUUUCAUUUUGUUUGUUUUAUUUUUGUCAAUUCAUUUAAAUUUAUAAAAUUAAGAGUGAGUAAAACUUGAUUCGAUUCGAAAAGAUUGAAUUUUAAGUUAAUUGAAUCGAUUUAAAUUUUACAAUUUGAAUUUUAUAAAAAAUCACAAUUAAAAUUAUAUACAAGAAAGAAAUGGCGUUCAAUUAUAUAAAAAAUCACAAUUAAAAUCACAAUAAAAUGAUCACCCACAAGGCUGAAGCUCACGGGGUUUGGUAUCCCAUCAAGCUCUAAGAAGCCGAGCUGAGGUAGGUGGAUCACUUUCUCUUCGUCCUUACUCACAUUUCCCUCAUCUCCUUCAAACACCUGCGAGAGUAAUUGGGAACAAACAUUUCAAGUUUUCACACCUCUUGAUUGUAAUCUGCUUCAAAUUAGGGAAGCAAAUAGGAUGGAGAUGAUGUUGUGAUGGAGUUCGAUGCUUCUCAAUUAUUUGCUCCAAUUCCUCACAGUUAAAUAUACCCAACCUGGAUAACUGUAGCAAAUUUCGAGCGAUAGUAGGUGAGAAGAUGUAUCUUAACCUUCUGUAAUCUUGAACCGUCAAUUGACAGAGAUUUUGAAAGUAUUCAACUUGGAUGGGAGCACUCCAUAUCACCCGCAGUUCAGUUAGUUCGGACAAGUUUAGGAUCUUCAGACUUACAUCUAAAAUCAAAUAACUCUUCAAAAUUAGAAAUUGUUGAUGUUUCUCUUCUCAUUUCUGGGACUAACUUUUUUGUCAUCUCCGACAACUCCAAUACCUAUAAACAUAUCAUCAAUCAUCAAUUUCAAAGUAUUCAAAGCGAUUAACAUCUCACCUAUCAUUUUAUUAAUUCAUUUUCUUAUGUAACUCCUAUUUUAACCUUUUUUAUAAAAGAAUUAAGGUUUAAUUUAUUUUACUUAUUAGAUUCUUACAGUUUGAACACCAACCAAGAUUUCUUUUCAAAUCUUUUAUAGUCAAAGAAAUCAAUUUUUUUUUAAAAAAAAUGAAAAAUCACCAAAAUAAUGGUGCAAAAACACAACGUAAAUAAUAUUAUGUCAUACUAGAUUGAGUUUGCAACAUAAGAUUAAAAUGUCUUAACGAUGUAUUCUAUAUAAAUAAUAUAUAUAUAUAUCUCAUAUAGAUUAUAAGAGUAUUCAAAUGAAAUUUUAUUUAUGUUAUUAAUUGGUAUUGUAAUUAACUAAACUACUUAAAGGUUUAUUUACAUUAGUUUUAAACUAAAAUUCUAAAAUGAAAACUAUCUUUUAAAGAGUUAUACAAACAUCUAUUUAUUUUAGACAAUAAAUUAUGAAAAGGUGAAGAUUUCAAUAAAUUAUAAAAUAAAAGCUACUUUCUAAACAACUACUCAAACAACAAAUUAUUUAAAAAAAACAAACAAACAAAUAAAUAAUAUAAAACAAAAAGAAAAAUCUUACUUGUAUCUUAAUCGAAAUAAUAAAAUGUGUCAAUUGAAAACAAUUGUACACUUUUAACUUUUGCAAAGACGAUUGUGAGAGUAUAAUGUCGUUCAAAUCCCUUCCUUUCAAUUGAGGCAAAUCAAUCAACGAAACCUGAAAUGAAAAGCAUAAUCAAAUUUCCCAAUCUUUGACCAUAGGACAAUAAGGAAAGUAGAUGUCAAGUUCUUGCAAUGAGAUACACAUACUUCCCUUAGACUUUAGAGUAGACAUUUGUAUGCCAAUUGUGGAUCUUGGAUUAUAUUGCGAGCAACUCUUUUAACUUCAAAUUAUGCAAUUACCCAAGGCUAUUAGCAAUAGACAUUGGGAAGAGAUACUUCAAAUUAUCACAGUUUUUAACUUCUAUUUCCCUUAAACUUUGGAGGCUUAUGCAUGGCACUUGUGAGUCUUGGAUUAUGCCUUCCAAGCUCCGGCAACUCUUUAUCUUCAAAGUAUGCAAUUGCUCAAGGCUAUUAGCAACAGACAGUGAGAAGAGAUACUUUAAAUUAUCGCAUUUUGGAACUUCUAUUUCCCUUAAACUUUAGAGGCUUAUGUAUGGCAGUUGUGAGUCUUGGAUUAUGCCUUCCAAGCUCCGACAACUUUUUAUCUUCAAAGUAUGCAAUUGCUCAAGGCUAUUAGCAACUAGGAAGAUAUAUAUCAAAUUAUUGCAUCUCUCUAUUUCAACAAUCUUCAGACUUUGGAGGCAUAAAUGACGGCUGGGCCCUUCUUGUUCUAUGCUCUUCAAUUCAGCAAUCGGGAAUAACACUUGCAUCUUAUCACAAUUUGAAACUAUAACCUCUUCAAGCUUCUAUAAAAAACCUUGCAGCUGGGGAACAUUGCACAUCUCUUCCAAAUGAAACAUAUGACUUAAUGAUAACUUUCUCAAAUUAGAGAAUACAGUGAUUGGCACCUGUUGCUUUGAUGCAUCAAUUAGGUAUUGCAUAGAGUCGCACCAAUCAAGAUCUAAAGAAGUCAACUUACUAAAUCCCAAGUCCAAGCUCGGAAUAAGGUUUGGGUGACCCUCCACCUCAUUCAAUUCAAGAGAUUCUACAUCUUUAAAUAGUUGCUUGCAUGUUGUUGGUGAUUAGAACUCGAACUUUGAUGGUUGAUCGAGAGAUUUGAAGCAGAAAGAAGAGACAAGAAGUUUUAAGAUAGAAAAUAAUUGAAGACUUGAAUAAUUGAUUUGCACCUCAACUAUUUAAAUACAAAAUUUCAAGACUAAAAAUAGAAAAAAAGGUUCUAAAAAUAUGCUAAAAACCUGGUAACAAUACACCAAACAAAUAAAAAACUAAGCUCCUAAAGUCAAGUAGAAUUAUUCAAACUUAGUAACAGAAAAAAUUAAAUGGCAGCAAUCUUAAACACAUAAUCUCAACACUCCUCCUUGUUUAGAUGCUGCAAACUCCAAGUUUCUUCCUGAAGCUUUCAAACUUGCUAAGUGGCAAUGGUUUGGUGAAGAUAUCUACAAUUUGAUCUUCAGAUUUGCAGUAACAAAGAGACACAUCACCACUCUUUUGAACUUCUCGAACAAAAAAUAACUUGAUGUUGAAAUGCUUAGUCUUCCCAUGAAAGACUGGAUUGUUAGAGAUUGCAAUGGCAGCUUGGUUAUCAACUAGAAUAUCUGUGCUUUACUUUUGCUUCAUGUUUAGAUCAACAAAAAUCUUCCUUAACCAGAGAGCUUGGUUAACUGUUGUUGUUGCAGCCACAAAUUCUGCCUCAGUAGUGGAUUGAGCUACAGUUUCUUGCUUCUUCGAGCUCCAAGAGAACAUGCCUGAUCCAAGGCAAAAAUAAUAACCAGAGGUACUCUUCAUAUCAUCAGUUGAGCCACCCCAAUCACUGUCAGAGAAACCAAUUAACUUCAAUUCCCUGUGCUUUGAAAACUUCACUCUAUAACUCCAAGUCCCCUUGAUGCAUCUGAUAACUCUUUUUGCAGCUCUCAUGUGAGUCUCAUUAGGACAAUGCAUGAAUCUGGAGAGAAUACUCACAGCAUUCAAGAUGUCGGGUCUGGUUGCUGUUAAGUACAUUAGAUAACCUACCAAACUCCUAAACUCAGCUUCAAUGACUUUGGCAGAACCAUCAUAUUUGAUUAGCUUCUCUUUUUGAUUCAUAGGAGUACUCAUUGCUUUGCAAUCUUCCAUAUGAAAUUUUCUAAGUAUCUCAUUUGCAUACUUUCUUUGACAGAUGAACACUUCAUUUUGGCUUUGUUUGAUCUCAAUGCCAAGGAAAUAAGACAUCAGACCAAGGUCUGUCAUUUCGAAGACCUUUUUCAUUUCCAAUUUGAACUGAUUGACUUGAUUGAUAUUGCUCCCUGUAAUCAAUAAGUCAUCUACAUAAAGAGAAAUGACUAAAGUGUUUGUACCUUCAUGCUUGACAUACAGUGUGAGCUCAGAUUGACUUUUCUGAAAACCAAGACCCACCAAAUGAUCAUCAAUUCUGCUAUACCAUGCUCGUGGAGCCUGUUUUAGGCCAUACAGAGCCUUCUUCAACAAGUAAAGUUUGUCUUCAUUGCCUUUGCUUACAAAACCUUCAGGUUGCUCGACAAAUAUUUUUUCUUGCAAGACUCCAUUUAGGAAUGUAGAAUUAACAUCUAACUGAAAAACUUUCCAGUUCUUUUGUGCAGCAAGAGCAAGAAGCAACCUUACAGUGUCAAGCCUGGCAACAGGUGCAAAUGUUUCUGAAUAAUUGACUCCAAAGACUUGUACAUAUCCCUUCACAACAAGUCUUGCUUUGAAUUUGUUAACUGACCCAUCGGGAUUUAGUUUCGUUCUGAACACCCAUCUCACUCCAAUUAUCUUUCUGUCCAGAGAUCGAUCAACCAACUCUCAAGUUUUGUUUUUCUCGAUCAUCGAAAGCUCCUCCUUCAUUGCAGCCAUCCAAUGUUGACUGUUUUUUGCAUCAUGAUACCCUGCAGGCUCACAAAUAGCCAUGUUACAUCUUUGGUAAAUGUCGGAGAGUAGCCUUGUACCUCUGACAGGUGCGUCAUUAGCUAAAACAUCUUGCCCUUCAUCUUCAAGCUCUUCUAAUGUGCUGCCAAUGGUAAAACGAUUUGGUGCACUAUAAGUUUGGUUCGUCUUGGUCGAGUUUUCCCAAUUCCAUUGCUCAUUUUCAACAAAAUAAACAUCUCUGCUCACAAUAACACGUCCAGUGUGUGGUUGAAAGACUCUGUAAGCUUUAGAUACAGUGCUAUACCCAAAAAAAAUGUCAGCUUCUGCCUUUUAGUCAAGCUUAUCACGCUUGACCUGUGGAAUAUAAGUGAAACACAGGCAGCCAAACACUCUAAGAAACUUUAAAGAAGGUUUGUAACCAUACCAAGCUUCAAAUGGCGUCUGAUCCUUCAUAGCUUUUGUUGAAAUCCAAUUUUGUAAGAACACAACAGUGUUUGCAGCUUCUCCCUAAAAGUUUUUUAGAAGAUUCUUCUUGUGAAGCAUACAUCGAGUCAUCUCCAUUAUGAAUCUGUUCCUCUUUUCACUGACUCUAUUUUGUUGUGGAGUGUAUGGCGCCGUCAACUGAUGUUCAAUUCCAGCCUCUUCACAAAAUCUAUUAAAGGCUUCUGAAGUGUACUCCUUGCCAUUAUCAGAUCUUAAAAUCUAAAUCAUGCAUCCACUUUCAUUCUCAACUCUAGCUUUGAAUUUCCAGAACACACCAGCAACUUCUGAUUUUUGCUUCAAUAAAAAAAUCCAACACAUUCUUGUUAGAUCAUCGAUAAAGGCUAUGCAAUAGAGGUUACCAUUUAAUGAAGGCAUUCUCUGAGGACCACAAAGAUCAGUAUGAACAAGCUGUAACUUCUUCGAGGCUCUCCAGGCUUGUUUUGGAAAGGGUUGUCUAUGUUGUUUCCCAAAUUUACAAGCUCGACAAUGAGGUAGAUCAUCAUCAAUGUCUGUAAGUCCUUCUACUAGCUUCUUUGACUGCAUUUGAAGCAAUCCUCGAUGGUGAAAGUGCCCAAGUCUCUUGUGCCAAGUCUCAAUAGCACUAACUCUGGAUUUAAAAUCCAUUUGCUCCUUUUCCAUUGGAUUAAGAGCAAAACUUUUUCCCUUCAUUUUGACAUUAAACAAGUCUCUGCCAUUAGCAUCUUUGAUCAAGCACUGCUUAUUCUCAAAUAGCACUUUAUAGCCUUUAUCUAGUAACUGACCAACACUUAAGAGAUUUUGAUCAAUUUUAGGUACAAACAAAACAUCUGAAACAAAUUUUGUACCUUCAUAGCUUGUAAUAGCUACCUUCAUAGAUUUUGAUCAAUUUUAGGUACAAACAAAACAUCUGAAACAUUUGGAGCAUUUGGCGUCAGGUCUUUUCCAACAUUUGAAUGGUGGAUGACCUUUCUUCUCACAAUGGUGACAAGGUGGGUAGGAUUUCUUGACACCUCAUCUUUUUCUCUUUUGAGAAUUGCCUGAUGAAUUUUCUCCACUCGUCGACUGGUUUUUAAAAUUUUUCUUCUUUUUAUACCUGUUGUUGUCUUGAUGCUUGACAAGUAAGGCAUCUUCUAUCACUCCCUCUUGCCUCAUGGAUCUUCUUUGCUUUUGUGCUUGUAAAGCAUUCAAGAGCUCUGCAAGAGAGAUCUUUGAGAGGUCCUUGGUGUUUUCCAGAGUAGUAAUUGUGGCUUUAAACUUCUCUAGAACAGUUACUAGUAGCUUUUCUACAAUUCUAGAGUCGUUCAACUCAGAACCAAGCAAUCUCACGUUGUUGGCAAUAUUGAGAAGUCUGUCAGAAUAUUCUUUCACUAACUCAAACUCCUUCAUCUUCUACAACUCGAAAUCCCUGAUUAGAUUCAGGACUUUCAUUCCACGAAUCCUCUCAUCUUCUUCAUAUUUAGCCUUAAGGUAAUCCCAGAUUUCCUUUGCUGAUUUCAGAGACAUUAUUCGUGUGAAAAUCAUUUGAGACACCGUUGCAAAUAAGCAAGCUUUUUCCUUUGAUUUCCUUGUCUUCUUUUCCUUUCGUGCUUUAAUCUGUGACACAGUAGGAUUUGCUAGAAGUAGUAGGACCUCGUAAUCCUCUUCUACAGCUUCCCAAAGAUCUAAAGCAUCCAGGUAAGUCUCCAUAUGAACUGCCCACAUCUGGUAAUUGUCUCAAUCGAAGACUAGUGGUGCAGCAACUGAAAAACUAGACCCUCCUUCCAUCUUAACACGCAAAUAACCUCACAGAUCCCUUAAGAAAACAGCUCCGGUACCAAUUUGUUGGUGAUUAGAACUCAAACUUUGAUGGUUGAUCGAGAGAUUUAAAGUAGAAAGAAGAGACAGGAAGUUUUAAGAUAUAAAAUAAUUGAAGACUUGAAUAAUUGAUUUGCACCUCAACUAUUUAAAUACAAAAGUUCAAGACUAAAAAUAGAAAAAAAAAGGUUCUAAAAAUAUGCUAAAAAUCUGGUAACAAUAUACCAAACAAAUAAAAAACUAAGCUCCUAAAGUCAAGUAGAAUUAUUCAAACUUAGUAACAGAAAAAAUUAAAUGGCAGCAAUCUUAAACACAUAAUCUCAACACAUACAUCUAUAGAGUUAUUGAUUCUCAAAGAUCUUGAGAUUGGAUAAGUUUUCCCCUUUUGGUACCACAUUUCUCUUUCUAUGCCAAUGCAAAAAUUAAAGCUCCAUAAUAUGCAAAACACAAAGCCAUCUGGAAGAUGUUUAGAAGAAAUAUCCAAUGAUAUUACAACCAACUUUGGCAAUAAAUCCAACUCCGACAGACUAGAAUAGCUUUCUCUUUGAGUUGUGUUCUCAGUCGCCCAUUUUAAUGAACUACACCCAUGCAAGUAUAGUUCUUCUAAAUUGGACAAUCUUCGUAUUAAAUUAGGAGCGAUUCUUCGUAGUUCAUAGCAAUGUGAUAAAUCCAACAGCCUUAGAUUAUCCAAAUCACCAGCUUCAGUCGGUAAUUCAGUGAUAUCAGAUCGACUUAAAGAGAGAUUAUGAAGUGUCUUUAGCUUCCCAAGCAUUGAGAUGUCAGAGAGUUCACACAAUCAAUCAAACAAAAAGUUCGAAUGUUCAUAUUAAACUUAAACGCAUCUAGAGAUAUCAAUUGAUCUUCCAAAGCACAAACUUGUAUUGCUUUCACACCCUCAAAGAAUUCGCUUGAAAUUUCAAGCGAAGUUUCCACAAAAUAAUCACCAACAAGUAAAAGAAAUUUGAGAUUUGGGAAAACCACUCCUUUAAGAAGUUCAUACAUUUGAUCAGUUUCGAAGGAUUCUGCUGUGUAAUGCUUGAAACUUUCAUCCAUCGGUAGUGCGUCAACAGUCCCAAAAGAAAUCUCAUUUCUUGAAGAUGUUAUCCACAAAGCAAAUUGGCGAACCACAUCAUGCAUUUUGACAUGCCAUUCUCCACAAUCUAGUAACAAACCAGGGUUCUUGAGGAUCUCAAUCGAUGCAAGAACUUCGCUUCUAACGUCUUUAAUUGAGUCGAUGCCUUUAUACAAUUCCAGUCCCCAAGCAUAUCUUACCAAGUCCUCCACUUAAAUCUCAUAAUCCUCGGGGAAAUAGAGAGCAGAACAAGAAACUUGUCUUGGUCUCCUUAUACUUCAAGUAAACGAAGCUUGCCUCAAGACAUUUAUAAGCAUUUCUUUCAUUAACAUCUUCUAUUUCAAUCAAUCUACGACCCUCGAGUCUCGGAUAUGCUGCUAGCCACUCAUGAUAACUUUUACCUUUCAAGGCACUUACCAGUGGAACUAUAGCUAUUGGCAAACCACUGCAUUUUUUAACAAUUUGAUUUGCUAGGAUUUUAAUAGAAUCAUCAGAAAAGUCAUCUAGACCUGCUUUAUUUUCAAAUAGAGUCCAAGCUUCAUCAUCAUUCAAACAGCCAAGUUGUGCCACGUUUUGACAAUCCAUAGCUCGACAUACUUGUUAAUGACGUGUUGUUAAAAGAACUUUGCAGCCUUUAUGAUCAUCCCCAAUUGGAAUUCCUAUCUCCUCCUUUAAGUUGAUAGAUUCCCAAAUAUCAUCAAGGAUGAUAAGAAUCCUUGGUUUAUUCUUUAGCCUUAGCCAUAAUUCUUGCUCGGAUCUUCUUCCUUGUUCAUUCUUCAUAUCAAAGCCUAUGUAUUGUGCAAUUUGAUCUUGAAUUCUCUCAAGAUUUGGCUUUUGAGACACAGUCGUAAUCAUAACUUUGUCAAACAAAUUCAGUUUUGGAGCUUGAAAUCCUACUUCACGAGCCAGAGUGGUCUUGCCCACCCCUCCCAUCCCCCACAACCCAAUCAUAAUGAUAUUCUCAUCUUUUAAGGCUUCAAUGAUUUGUUUGAAAGCAGCCUUCGAAGACUCCGAAACCAUAGUUCCUUAGAACAUAGGAAGUCUAUAGUGGGAAGGGCAGUAGGAUCACAGUAACCGACUGGUCCAAGUCGAUCAAAUUUUUCCAAAAGCUCAGAGAUAUCGUGAGUUUUCUUCAUUGCUUUCUUACUUAAAUGAUAUCUCCAAAUCCAAUUAGGACACCAAUUGAGACACCUCUUAUUCAGUUGAAUUUCCCCUUCCGGAGUUCCCAUAUCCGAUACUAUUUCUCCUGCCUUUGAUUGCAGGUUCUGUACAUCCUUUUGAAUUAGUAGAAGCUGCCUUUCAGCAUCCUCAAUCUCAUGUUUCAGACGAUCUCGUGCACUUUCAAGGUCACACUUUUUUUCUCGGAGCUUUUCAACAUUGUCAUGAAAGCGACAGACAUAAUCAAGUUGACAUCCUACCGGCUUCACCAUACAGUCCACAGUCAGUGUUCCAACGGAGUUCGAAACAAAUUAAAGGAGGAUUCAAAGUCUGAGAAUCAAUAGGCUUUUCUUCCAACUUAGUCCAGCUGAAAACAUAACACAAAAUGCCAAUAUUAUUAGAAACUUAAUAAAAAAAACAUUACUUGAAAACUAGAGAAUACCAAUAUUAUACAGACAUUCACAUUGAUGCAAGUAUUGUAUAGAAUUGGGUAGAAAAAUAUAAAGGAAAGCAAGACUUAGAUGAGAAGUUUCUAUUUCAUUUUAUCAAUUCAUAUUAGUUGAUAAAAUCAUAUAUACAAUUCAAGUGUAAUGCUAUAUAAUUACACAGAUAAAUAUAAUCUAAUGAUUAAAAUUAAUUAAACUAAGUCUAUGUACUUUUUUAUUAAUUUAUUUAAAUUUGAAAAAAGUUAAAACAAAAAACUACCCAAUAGUAAUUGUUAAGAUUUUAUCUCUACUAGAGUUUGGUUUCUUGAGUUGAGAGUGAUACCAUGACUCUGUCAUAUAUAUAGAUUUAUAGAUUAUAGAUUAUAGAUUAUAGAUGAUAGAUUAUAUAUAUUAUAUAUAAGGUGUUUGAUUAAGUUGGUCUCACAAAUCAAUUAGAUACAAAUUCGGUAGUAAAAUAAUUAAAAUGCCCUUAAAUUAAUAUUAUUUUAAUAUUAAUAUAAAGGUAUUUUCAUCGUUUCAUACUUUUAUUUAAUAUUUAAAUAAAACAACUUAAAAAUAAUAUUUAAGAAUCAAACACAAAACCAGUUGAAAUAUUUUUAUAAAUAUAUUUUUAAUAUAAAAUAUUUCCAUUUGUGAUAAAGUCUAGUAGAUAUAGACCAUAUAGAAUUGGUUUCUCUAUUUUAUUUAAUGAAAUGAACUUUAUAGCUUUUAUUUCAUUUUGUUUGUUUUAUUUUUGUCAAUUCAUUUAAAUAUAUAAAAUUAAGAGUGAGCAAAACUCAAUUCGAUUUUAAAAAAUUGAAUUUCAAGUUAAUUGAAUCGAUUUGAUAAUUCGAAUAAUAGAUUGGUGCAAACACCUCUAUAAUCUCUAACAAUUUUGAAAAUGAGCAAAUUGGGUUUUUUCAACAAAAAUUACAAAAUAAUUUAAAACAAUUUUUAAAAAUUAAAAAUAUUUAUAAAAAUUCCAUUUUUUAAUAAUUUUAAAAAAUUUCCUAAAAUAAGAAUUUUGAAACCUAAAUAAGUUAAUUAAUGAUUGAAGUUUAUUUAUUUUUCUUUAAAAUUUUUUUAAAUAUAUAUGGUUUCAAAUUUAAGUGGUUUAACAUGUAAUUAGUUAUACGGUAAUAAUAUUUUAAUUUGACUAUGUUUAAAUUUUUUUAAUUUCACUCGAUUCGAAUUUUAUUUUACUUGACUCAAUUCGAAAAAAUUUCAAAUCGAACUAAGAUAUUAAAAUAGGACUCAUCAACUCGAUUAAUUUAAAAUUUUUAGGCUCGAUUUGAUCCAAUGUUGAUCCCUAAAUAAAAUCAUAUACAUGUGUGUAAUGUGAUAUAAUUAUAAAUAAAAAAGACAGAUAAUUAGUUAUAACAACGAUGGAAACAUAUACACUUACCACUUCCAAAAGAAGUUGUAACUCCAAGAAUUUGAUCGUCAAAAUAAAAAAAUCCAGACACUCUUUUAGCUCUGGUUUGCUUCAAGAAGAACAUAAAAAGAUGAGAUGAGAUGAGAUCAAAUAUAUAACAAAUAUAUAAACACAAAUAUAAAUAGAUUUACCUCACUUGGGAACUUCAAAAUCAAACUACACUUGGUGUUGAGAAGAUUCUUAAUCACUACUUCAAAUCAAUCAAAAGGGAUUUAAAGAUUGGGUUUUUCUUUUUAAGAGCAAAAGAACUUGAAGAUAUUUUUUAUCUUUAAGGAAAGGGAAAUAGAAAAACAAGAACAAAAUAGAAAUAGAAAUCAAGGUUGAACUAAAAUAAGGAGAAACCUUCACAAAGAAAUUGAAGUUGAUCUGCCUCGAAAAUUCAACAAACAGGGUUUUCUUGAUUUAGUAGCCAAAGAAUUUGUGCUAUGAGAUUACUGCAAUAUUGGGAUCUAAAUUAAUGAAGUCGGUACUGUUUGGUUUGCUAAUGGCCCCAUGCAUUUAUUUUGCAAUUAAGACCAACAAAAACAUGACAGGAUAGUAGAUAAGUUACAAAAAGGUGAGUCUUUGGGUCAUAUUUUUACCCUGGUUUGCUCUAUUAGAAAAGAGUUAAUUACAUCAAGCAUCCUUAAAUUAUGACUAUCAAUUUAAAUUGGUCGCUAAACUUUAGAUUAUUCUAAUUACAUUCCCAAUUUAUCGGUGCUAUAUCAACCGAAUCCUUUUGCUAUUACAAUCGUUAAAUGGCAUAUCAAAUCUUACAUAGCUAAAUUUAAAAUGAAAUUUUUAAAUAAAUAGAAUCAUGUUACAUAACUUUUAAAAUUAAAAAUAAAAAAUUAAGUAAAACUUUUUUUUUUAAAGUAAACAUAAAACUUCCAUAAAAACUUCGAAAACCUCAAAACUAAGGUUUUUAAAAUAGUUAUUUCUAUAAUACACGCAGAUCCUAGGAGGAUUCAAGUCGGGAGUAAUCUGUUCUGAUAGGGAUGAAAUGAGCAGAUUUGGUCAACCGAUCCACGAUGACCCAAACUGAAUCUUUCUUAGUAGGAUUUAAAGGCAACCCAUUAGCAAAAUUUAUCAUUAUACGCUCCCCCUUCCACAGAGGAAUCUUAACUGGCUGAAGCAAUCCUGAAGGCAACUGAUGUUCGUCCUUAACCUUUUAACACAUCAAACAACGCGAUACAAAAGCAACCACUUCUCGUUUCAAACUAGGCUACCAAUAAAGUUAUCGGAGGUCCCGAUACAUUUUAUUUCCACCAGGAUGCAUAGCAUAAGGGCUACCAUACGCCUCCCAUAAAAUCAAUCGCCUCAAAUCCUUGUCAUUAGGCACACAAAUCCGACCCCUGAAACACAAGACAUUAUCAUUGUUCAAAAUAAAAUAUAAAUUUUUACUCAGAUCGAUCUGUUGCAAUUGCUGAACUAGAGACUUAUUGCUCGAUUGUUUAACUCGAAUAUGUUCGACCCACGUAGAUGUAACAUGCAGUUCGCCUAGCAGCCCUCCGUCUUCAAAUAAACUCAGACGAGCAAACAUCACUCUCAGUUUAGUAAUCGAUUUACGGCUAAGGACAUCAGCUACUACAUUAACCUUACUAGGAUGAUACUCUAUUGUACAAUCAUAAUCCUUAAGCAACUCAACACACCUACGCUGCAUAAGAUUUAACUCUUUUUGAGUUAACAGAUACUUGAGGCUCUUGUGAUCAGUGUAAAUGAUACACCUCUCACCAUACAGAUAAUGCCUCCAAAUUUUUAGAGCAAACAAGACUAUAGCCAGUUCAAGGUUGUGCCCUAGUAGUUACCCUUGAGUGUCUUAAGCUGUCGCGAUGCCUAAGCAACCACUUUAUCAUCUUGUAUUUAAAUAGAUCCUAGCCCGACGUGCAAUGCAUCACUGAAAACCACAAACUUCCGACCUGAUUCAGGUUGAACUAGAAAAGGAGCUUGCGUCAGAACAUACUUGAGCUUAUUGAAGCUAGACUACUAUGCCUCAGACCAUACAAACGGAGCAUUCUUACGUAGUAGCUUCACCAGAGGUGACGCAAUCAGGGAAAAUCCCUCAGCAAACCUUCGAUGGUAACUUGCUAAACCCAGUAAACUAUGAAGCUCAAACACAUUUCUCAGUUGUUUCCACUCCACCAUAGCUUUUAUUUUCUUAGGAUUGACUUGGAUCCUUUUAGUAGUCACCACGUGCCCUAAAAAAGAAUCCUCUUGCAACCAAAACUCUCACUUGCUAAACUUAGCAUACAACUACUUUUCUCGGUGUGUCUAGAGAACAAUACGAAGGUGGUCGUCAUACUCAAACUCAGUUUUAGAAUAAAUCAGUAUAUCAUCGAUAAAGACUACCACAAAUUGAUCCAAAUAUGGUUGGAACACUCGGUUUACCAAAUCCAUGAAUGAUGCUGGAGCAUUCGUCAACCCAAAUGGCAUCAUUAGGAACUCAUAGUGCCCAUAAUGAGUCUUGAAAGCGAUUUUGUACACAUCAGUCUCUUUAACCUUGAGCUGAUGGUAACCAGAACGAAGAUCAAUCUUGGAGAAAAUAAAUGCCCCUCGAAACUAGUCAAACAAGUCGUCAAUCAUCGGUAGCAGAUACUUAUUCUUGAUUGUCAAUUUGUUCAGCUGUCGAUAAUCUAUACAUAUCAUUAUCGAUUCGUCCUUCUUAACAAACAAUAUUGGUGCCCCCCAUAGAGACACACUCGGUCAAAUGAACCUUCUAUCGAGAAGCUCUUGGAGCUGAGCUUUUAGCUCUGCAAUCUUCUUCAGUGCCAUGCAGUAGGGUGCCAUGGACACCGAAGCAAUACUCGGUAACAAAUCGAUGCCGAACUCAACCACUCUAUCUGGAGGUAUUCUGGGACAUUCCUAAGGAAAGAAAUUUGAGAAUUUCCUCACAAUACGAAUAUCUCUUAUAGAAAGCUUUGUAGAAAAAGAAUCAAUUAUGAAGGCAAGGUCUGUCUCGCACCUUUUUUAGAUUAGCUUAUCAGCUACAAGGGAGGAGAUUACAUUCGAGAGGUAAUCUCGACACUCACCAACCAUAACAACCUCGCUAUUCUCAUCCAUCCUCAGAGUAACCCUUUUAGCAGCACAAUCUACAUUGACUCGAUGUUUUACAAGCCUAUCCAUUCCCAAAAUCAAAUCAAAUUCACAAAAGGCAGUUUCAUUAGAUUAGCCGGAAACACAAUCCCCUGAAUCUCUAAGGUUACCUCUGUUUAUAUACUUUAUCCAUUCGAAACCUAACGAUCGGUAAAAGAAAAAGAAAAUAAAUAUGAAAAAUGAAGAAAAAAAAAGAAAGAACUUCAAGAGAGGAAGAAGAGGAAACAUUUUCUUUUAAAAAUUUUGUUUUAACCACCAAUAAGUUUUCCGACAGUGAGCAAAAAUAUUCCUAAUGCAUACGCUAAGACUCAAACACAGGACCAAACAGUAUAUAAAAGAUUAACCAAUGAACCAGCAGGCUCAUUCUUGUUACAAAUUUACACAGAAUUAGAUUUAAAUCAAUGAUUCAAGAGCAGAGAAUAGUUAAAAAUUGAAUUAACACACGACCUGAAUUCUCAACCUCAAACACAUAAGUAAAGCACAAAAUCACAAAUACAGGAACUUAAUUACACCAAAACCCAACACCUAAAUACUUAAAUUUUUGGAGCGUUACAUCUUAUACAUAGGGUGGUGAAAGACUGAGAAUCAAUGGGCUUUUCUUCCAACUCAAUCUAGUUGAAAACACAACAUAAAACGUAAAUAUUACGAAAAACUUAAUAAACAAAUAUUACUUGAAAAACUAGGGAAUAAAAAUAUUUGUAAUGAUAUGAUACCAAACUAAAAAACAAUACCAUACCAUAGAAAUUGAAGUACAAAUUUAUAAGUAUUGUAUAGAAUUGGACUUAUAAAUUGGUGAGAGAAGUAGAAAGAUUUAGUUGAGAAGCUUUUAUUUCAUUUUAUUUACUGUUUAUCAAUUCAUAUUUGUUUGUUUUUAUAGAUAUAUAUCGCUUCAUAUUAGUUGAUAAAAUCAUAUAUACAAGUGUAAUGCCACGUAAUUAUAAAUUAGAAAGAUAUAUUUAAUUACACAGAUAAAUAUAAUUCUAAACUUUUUUACUUUUACAUGGUAAUAUGCAAACUACAGAAGUAUUAAAAAUAAAGGACUCUUCCCAAAAGAUUAAAAGAAAAGUAAACGACCUAAAUAAUUUUAAAUUUUUUAAAAAUAAAAAGUAUCUUAUUUAAAUAGUUAGUUUAAUUAUUUUAUUUAAACUUAAAUUAAUAAAUAUUUAAAAUAAAAUUUACAAAAUUAUCAUUCACGAUCUCAAUAGUUUUAUUCUUGAAAUUGAGUAGCUGCCUCUUAUUGCAAUUGUAUCUAUUUUAUAAAAAAUAAGUAAAUUGAAUAACUAUAACUUAAUAUCAGUACAGAAUAUUUUUAAACUGAAAAUUAAUUUGAUUGGAAACCAAUACAUGAAUCCAGAUGUAAAGGAAAACUUUCACUUUUUUUCAAUUUUAGAAAUAUAAUAUACAUAUAUAAAAAGUGCAUAUAUAUAUAUAUAUACUAGAAAUCUUAUCACACACAUAUAUACGUGUGAAAAUCACAUAUUUAAAACCUAUAGGCCUGUUUAAAAAUAAUAAGAAAAUGUGAUUUGGAACUAAUUAAUAGUAAUACAUGACGAAUAUAUGGUAUUAAAAUAAAUAAAUUAGAUUAAAUUGUGAAUAAAAAAAUUUAAACACAAAAGCAAAUUAAGAAUAUAAAAUGAAUAAAAUUGUUUAUUAUUGUUUUGUCAUAAACCUUGAGUUGAUGCCGAGUUAAUUUGUGGCACUAACUUAGUCAACAACAUUAUUAAUAUGCACAAAUAUAUAAAAAAAUUAUAUAACAUAUAUAUUUAUUAAACUUUCAUAUAAAAUCAAAGUUCAAAUGGUAAAUAAAAAUGUUUUAUAUGCAUGUUGUAUGUGGUUCAAAUCUUAGUAUGAAUAAUUUUCUAUUGAUUUAUAAAAAUAUAAAAGACAAAAACAUACUCUAAUAAUCAUAUAACUUGUUUUGAAAAUAAAAUGGAUUUUUGGCGAUUCCCUAAGUGAGUUAGAACCUGUCAAUAAAAAAGUUUAAUAAAUAGUGUAGAUAAAUUACAUCAUUAGUCUCUCAACUAUGAGUAAACUUUUGUUUUGAUCGCUUAACUAAAAAAUAUUACAAUUUAAUUAUAGACAUUUUCUUUUUCUUUUUUGCUUUCCUCUACUUUUCUUGAGCUGAAAGAUUAAUGGUGCACUACACCAAAACAGGCUUUUAGCGGCGCUUUUUUAUGCCUUUAACGGCGCUUUUAAGCGCCACUAAAAGUAUUAGCGGCGCUUUUACAAGCGUCGCUAUUGACAACGUCGCUAACUUUAGCGGCGUUUAGGUGAAAAACGCCGUUAAAGAUCAUGACCUUUAGCGGCGCUUUAGAUACAAAUGCCGCUAAAGAUCGUGAGCUUUAGCGGCGCUUUAGCCACAGACGCCGCUAAAGAAUAUGAUCUUUAGUGACACUUUUUUCACAAACACCACUAAAGAAUAAACCUUUAGCGACGCUUCUAGCAAAAACGCCGCUAAAAACAUAACCUUUAAAAAAAUUAUUUUAAUCAAAUAAUAUUUAUCAAAAUAAAUAUUAUAUUAUGUUUUGUUUUUUUAAUUUGAACUUUAAAUAUACUUGUUAAGGAUAAAUAAAAAAAUAUUUUUUAAAUUAAAUUUUCUAUGAAAAACUUAACUUUAAAACUAAAUAUAAAAAAUUAAUGAAUUUAGCUUUAGAAUUUAAAAUAAUAAAUUAAUAGCACAAAUAAAAAAUUAGAAAAUUUAGAUUCCUAGAGUCAAACCAUAAUGAUUUUCUCGUAGAAGUAAGAAACUAAAAAGAAAAAGAAAACUAUGAAUGAAGUAGAUAUCAUAAAAAGAAAUCCGCAGAUGAUUUUCUAGCAAAACAUUUUUACAUGAUUAGUUCAUAAAAUCCACAUCUUCAUUACACAAGAGAAAGGACAUUACAUAUCUAAAAGAACAUAAAAUGCUUUGCACAAAUAGGAUGAAAAAAGCUAGAAAGGAGGUACAAAAUUGUACAUCUUUAUCAAGUAGGAAGAAGUUCUGUGCAGCUGUAUCUGCAUUUCCUGUCAUCCUUACAACAGCUUGAACAGCCAUGCUAAGAACACCAAGCCCUGCACUGGAAGCCAGAAAGAAAAGUUUUUAUGAGAAAUAAAGCUGUGAGGGAAUGGAUGCAAGGAACCGUUCAUGUCAAAAGAAAUCUCCACAAUCGGUAAAUAAAACAAAGUACCACCAAGCAUUUCAUAUGUUCCAUUCUAUGAAUAACAAAGUAAAUAAGCACAUAUUUUACUCAUAAAGUGGGUCUUCAAUUAGCUUUAGAUUGUUAGUACCAACAUCUAGCAUAUCUGGGAGUAUAUGUCAGAGACAGAUUGAUUUAAUAAUUAAAGUUCUAACACAAGACAAGAGAGUUGCCAUCACAAGAAAAUGUUGAAAAUGUAAAAUACGAUAAUAACAUGGAGCAAACAUUUUCAGCAAGAUAUAAUCCACACACACACAUUUUGCUCAGCCAUAAAAAUUAUUUUAAUAUGAUAUAUUAUCAUAUAUUUAGCUUUCCAGCUAAGUAUGAAACCCUUAUGGGGCCUUCUUUUAUUUGCCCAAAUUAAAAAUGGUCAUACCAAUGCAAAGUAAAUCGGUUUAAUUUGAUUCCAUCUCUAUUUUAUUUUAUUUAUAUUUAAUGAUAAAGUAUAUACAUUUUCAUAUAGGAAUAACUUUUAAUGGGUUGAACCUAAUUCAUGAACACUUUCAAUUUAAAAAAUAAAAUAAAAGCAAUAAAAAGCGUGAAGGCAAUAAAAAAGACAGACACAAAAUAUCAUUAAAAGAUAACAUGAAUAUGAUAUAAAAAUAAGAAUAUUUAAAAAUUAUUAAAUAAAUAGUGAGAGAUGAGAGGUAGUUGCACUCUCACCAAGCAGUGUAUAACUCACUCAUUUAAAUGCACCACUUCCCACUAUAAUGGCUCGCACACAAACAUUCAUUUCAUGGGGUAACUCUUUCCUUACACAGGCUAAUAGCUUGCCUUCAUAAAUUUGCUUCUUCUCUCUCACACUUGAAUAGAAUCUUUUGAACCUCUCAAUUUAUUAAUUAGAGAAGAAAGAUCUCUCAUUUCUCCAACCAAUCUUAUGUUUCAGAACUUAUUUUUUUAUUUAUUUUGUUUAUGUGUUUAGUUGACAAAAGCUGAUUCCAAGGGAGUUUUUAUGACUUUUUUCCUUUUUUAAUUUAUAGAUUUCUAUUGACAGCUUCAACUAUGCCUUGUCCUUAGGUGACACAUUACUGAAUCAAAUUACUAAUAUAUAUUUAUAUAUUUAGUAUUUAAAUGUUUAUUUCUAUUUGGUCUAAUGGCUUUUUUUGCCCUCCAACUUUAUAACAAAGUUAUUUUAGCUCUCCAUUUAAUUUUUUUUAUUUUUUUAGCCCUCAAACUUACCAAAUGAAAUGCCAUAUGUCUUCAAUAUAAGCUCUAAAAUAAUCUCUAAAGCAAUUAGACACACAUAAUAUGCAUCCAAAAAUCGACCAACAGUUCAAGAUUAAAAAACUAGAAAAAUAAAUACUGAAGCAAAAGAAAGCACCAUAAGGACAAAUCAGCAUUCCUAGAAGAAAGGAGAAAUUUAUUAAAAAACUUAAAAUCUUUCUUUCUUGAAGAUGCAGGUUGAAACAGAAAGUACAUAAGUUAAGAGGCACCAUGAAGCAUCAAACAUGUACAAAGGGGAAAGACACACAUAAAUGGAAGUCAGACACAGAAGUAUGCUACACAGAAAAUGGCUUUUCAUUCGCAAAGAAGGUUUUGUGACAGGACUAGUGCCUUAUCUGAUUGGAUGAGAAAAAUACAAGUUCAAUCAUGUUUAAAUUGAUUUGAUUCCCAUGAUAAAAAUGGAAUUAACCAAAAAUAAGAAGCCUCUAAUGAAGUGCAUUUUUAAAGAGAUUAGCAUAGAUAUUAACUCAAUAAUCCACUGGGCAACAAAGUAGGAAGCAUUUUAAAAGGUCAAAUUUCUUGUAUUGCUGUAAAUUACUUUUGAUUUAAUUGUUAUUCAAAUAAAUCCUCUGCAUCUAAUUAAUAGAAUAAAACAAUGUCUCACAUAAUGAGUCUCUUUAAAGAGAAAAACUGACAAGGAUGAUCCAGAUAUACAAUUCUACGCCAGUAAAUUCAAGAUAAUUGCCUUUCUUAUUCUAAUUCUUUCUUUUUGUAACUUAUGAUUGGAACAUUUUCAAAGAGGUUAAGUCAUAAUAGUUUCUCAGAGAAAACAUAUUCUACCCAAGGAAUCAAAUACAGUUGCAGUCACCCUUCUUAGACAAUCCAUUUUUUUUCUUUUUGCAAAACAAUUUCCCCCCAUCUCAAGUACAUCUGUUUUUCUUAUGUUUGACCCAUUUUCUAUAUACUUUCCUACACUGAAGAUUCGUUAUUUGUGAGUUAACAGGAACUGCCUUAAAUAUAAAUUUCUGUCAUUUCAGAUAGAAAAUGAGAUGAUUAAAAAUUUGGAAAGGGGAAAUAAUAACAAACACUGACAAGAUGCAGCUACAAACAAGAUUACCUAGAACCAGCAGUUGAUCAAACUUAUAUCCAGGCUUCAGGAUUGACUUCAACAAGGCAGCACGUUCUGCAAAACCAGACAGAACCUGAGAAAAAGCCAACACAAGAAAGUACAAAAGGAAAAUUCUAUAGAGGCAAAAAAAAGCAUACCAUGAUGAUCUGCCAAAUGUUCAUUAAAUAUCAUACCCUUCAAGUGAGCUUUUGAGUUAACAUUUAUAACUACUGCAGAGGAAGUUAAACCCUCAACAACCCCAGAAACUAUGCUGCCCAACUUGACCAUAUCGUCUUCAGAAAUCCUGCCAUUCAAAUUUUCAAGCAGAACUAGAGCAGUGUCACCAUACAACUUCACAGAGGAAAGAAAUCACUAGCACAUAGUUAUAUAUCAGCAAAAACUUUUUGGGUUGAAUGUCACUGGAUACCAGCAUUAAGAUGUUCCCAGCUAUUUACCAAUCAAGUUUUCAGCAAGGAAAAGGUGCCAGGGAAGAAGUAUUAGUUCACCAAUAAGUCCACUAACUGAAAAGAUAUAUAUUCAUAAUAACCAUAUAUACCAGAUGCUCAUUGAAACAAACCUCACGGGCCUCAUCUGCAAGCUAAGAUUGACAUGCCUUGAAGCAGGUGAAGAACCAGUUACUCUGCAUUUAACAACUUGUCCCACAUGAAACAUUGAAUUUGGAUCAUCUCCUGGUCCUAAGCCAAGUUCGGAUCUCAUUUUGUAACAAUGAAUAAUCAAUUAUCAAUGAAGAUUACUAAGGCAAAGGAUGAUAAGAAUUGCCCAACACAUAAUAUGCAUCCAAAAAUCGACCAACAGUUCAAGAUUAAAAAAUCGACCAUCAUAACUACCUCUUCACAGCUCUCAGCAUCUCAACUCUCUUCAACAAAAUUCAUUUCAACCGAAAAUAGAAGAAUUGAGUUAUCUACUUUGAUACAAAAGGCCACAGCUUUGAUAAAUUGAAAUCAUACUAAAAUGGAGAGAAAUUCCUUUGUUUCCAAUAACAUAGCAGCCAUUCUUUAUCCUCAAUGUAACAACAAUGUCAGUCAUUAAAAUCCCAUCUGAUCAACGAACUGUGCCAUCUACUCCAAAAAAAAAAAAAGCAAGAAGAGUGCUGCAAUGACAUGAUAAGAAUCAUCUACAUUAUAACUAAAAUGUUUGAUUGUUUAAUUGAGUUAAUAUUACGAGUUAAUCUCAUACCAACUUAAUUGAAAAAAUAUAUAAAGUCAAUUUAUAUAAAAAGGUAAAGAUAUUACUAAAGUUAUAUAUAUACUAAACAGAAUAGAAAAUCACUUUCCUAAGCAACACCACACACAAAAUUGGCUGUGGCUGAUGAACUUGUUGUGUAAAAGAAAAUUAAAACUAUAUAUGUUCAGGGAACUUACUAUUCACUGUGUAUAAGAUUUUGAAAUCUUUAGGAAUCUGCUUCCAUUUGACUGAUCGUUUAUGCCAGGGGAGAUUUUCUGGUGCCGAACAUGGAAAAACAGAGGAGUCGAGCAGUAUUACAAACCAACGGAUGCCACCACAAAAACCUCGAUCUUUCAAAGCAGGUAAAAGUUCUUAAUGAGCAGGUAAUCUUAAAAGACUGUAAAGACGCGAUAAAGUAAGACACCCUGGAUGGGAGGAAGGAUAAGUUAGCCAGCACGUCAGAUAAGAUGAUAAGGAAUCCUUAGACUUACGGGCUGGAAUGUGCCGCUCCGCUUAGUCGACUGACAGGCAUGGAGAAGAAAAUCAGAUUGACCUAACUCUAAAUGAAACUGUGCAUAACUUCUCUUCUUAUUUAGAUUUCUCCCAUUUGAACCACAUUCUUCCCUUGAAACCCUAGUCUCUGAUAUGGGUUUGUCGAAAUCGCCAGAUUCUUUUUUUCUUGUCAUUCCUUAAAAAGUCCCAAAAGUAAAUAAAAUUAAAAAAGUAAAACAAAACAAAAAACCAGGAUAUCAACAAACCCUUCUAUCAGUUUCAUCAGUUCUUCCAGCGAUAUGUCUGGGUGAUUCCAUCCCAUCUUCUGGUUUUCUUCCUUCAAGUCUGUUGUUGGAAAUGGGAAAUUUGGGGGAUUUCAGCUGAAGAAAAACAAACUUUUAUUUGGGGGAUUUAGGGCGCACGACGGAGAUGAGAAGAAAUGGGAGUAAUGACCAAAAUUUUUUUUUUAGAAGUGAGCGGGAUUUUGAUUAUCUUUUAUUUUCUUCUAUAUUUGUGUCGUUUUAAAAAAAAAACGCCACUAAAAAAAUUAAAUUUUUCUACCCAAACGGCGCCGUUUUGGGAAAUUUUAAUACAUAGUAAUGGCGUUUUUUGCUGAAAACGCCGCUAAAGCUCACAUAUUUUUUUAUAUUCAAUUAUUGUAUCUUUCAUAUAAAUUUCACAUAAAGAAUUAUUAAAAUUUUAAGUAAUAUUUAAAAGAAUUAGAAAAAUUAUAAAUUUUAUUUUUUUAUUUCAUUCUUAUUUUUGUAUUUUAUUUUUUCUUAUAAUUUGGUCCUAUCCAAAUUAAAUAAUUACCUAUCUAUCCAUAUUAAAUAUAUCAAAUGGUUUAGAUUAAAUAUUUUUAAAUAUAAAAGCAUUAAUUAAUUGUAUAAAAUUGUAUCAUUUAACAAAUCUCAAAUAAACCUUAAAUCUUAAAUUAACCAUUCAAUAUACAUAAAGUCUAUCUAUUAUAUAUCUCUUAAAUAAUAUAAACUAUACUCAUAAUUUCAAUAUAUUAAAUUUAUUAUUAUAUCUUUUACAAUUAUAUAAGAAAAUAUUUAAUAUAUAAAUAAAAAAACUAAUUAAUCUAAACCCUAAACCUUAACCCAAUCCUUGAAACCCUAAAUCCUUAGCUCUUAACCCCUAACCCCCUAACUCAUAACCCCUAAACCUUAAAUCCCAACCCUUAAACCAUAAUCCCUAAAUCCAUAUAUAAUCCCCAAACCUUAAAAUAGUAACUCCUAAACUGGCCUUAAAUCUUAAAUUAACCAUAUACCGUAAGCCAUAUAAACCCUAAACCAUAAUGAUAAUUAAUUAAAUAUUUUAAAAUUAAUACUAUAUUAUCUUUUUCAAUUAUAUAUGAAAUUAUUUAAUAUAUAAAUUUAAAAACAUAUUUAAAAUAUAAAUAAAAAAAAUAAUCUAAACCCAAAACCCUAACUCGACCCAUAAAACCUUAAACUCUAAAUCCUUAACUCUUAACCCCUAAACCCCUAAAUCUCUAACUCCUAACCCCUAGACCUUAAAUCCUAACCCGACCUUAAAUCCCUAAACCCCAACCCAACCUAGAAUCCCUAACCCCUAAAUAUUAUUUAAUAUAUAAAUUAAAAUACACUAAUUAAUCUAAACCUAACCCCUAACAUCUAACCUUUAAAUCCAUAAACCCUAAAUCCAUAACUGAUCUUAACCCCUAACCCCUAACCCCUAACCCAUAAACCUUAAAUCACAACCCUUAAAUUAGAAUCCCUAAUCCAUAAUCCCUAAUUUCAUAACCUAUAAACCUUAAAAUUGUAAUUUUUAAACUGACCCUAAAUCCUAAAUUAACCAUAUAUAUACUCUAAACCAUAUAUAUUAAACCCUAAACUAUAAUGAUAAUUAAAUUAAAUAUUUUAAAAGUAAUACUAUCGUAUCUUUUACAAUUAUAUUUGAAAUUAAUACUUAAAAUUAAUACUCUUAUUUCAUUUGUCCCUUUUCAUUCAUUUUUAGUUCUUACUCUUGAGUAGGUACUAUUAGGUCAUUGUUGUGUUCAUGUUUGAUUAACUAAAUAUAAAAUUAUUUUUGGUAAUAAAAUUAUCAAUAUAUAACAUUAUUUAUCACUAUAUUUGGUGUUUUAUAUUUACUUUAUUUGAUUUAUUUAAUCGAACUAUCAAUUUAAGUUUUAUGAUAUUUUAUUUUAUUCAUAAUUUAAUAUAUUUUUCUAGUAAAGUAGUUUAAAUAAACUGUGAUUGAAAAAUAAUAAUAAAUAGUUAGGAGUUAGGACUUCUCUUUAAUAAAAACAUUUUGUAUUAAACAAUAUUAUUUGUUAUCAUUUAAAUGUAAAUUUUACCAAUAUAUAAUAAAUACAACGAAAUAUCAAAUUUUUUCAACUUAUAUUAAAAAAAUAUAAUUGAAACAUUACUUGAGAAUAUAUCAAAGAAUGAGAUAAUCGAAAUGGUUUUAGAUUUUAUUAUUAUUAGCGGCGCUUUUCAAAAACGCCGCUAAAGGCCAGAGCAUUAGCGGCGCUUUUUUAAAAACGCCGCUAAAGAUCUGAGCAUUAGCGGCGCUUCUUCAAAAACGCCGCUAAAGGCCAGAGCAUUAGCGGCGCUUCUUCAAAAAUGCCGCUAAAGGACCCAAAAACUCACAAAACGGUGUCGUUUGGCUUAGGCUUUUUGCGGCGCUUUUUAGAAAACGCCGCUAAUACUUAUCUUUAGCGGCGUUUUCGGAGAAGCGCCGCUACUCUACCUUUAGCGGCGUUUUUAUAAAAGCGCCGCUAAUGCUCGAUUUUUAGUGGCGUUUUUUGUCCAAGCGCAGCUAAAAACGCUGCUAAAAGCCGGUUUUAGUGUAGUGGUGAUACCUUUUAAAUUGGUAUAAUAAUAAUUUUAAACUGAAUUUUAACCCUAUACUUUUAUACUUUCUAAGCACAAUUGAUUUGCUUGAAACUAUAGUUUAUUUAUUACAUAAUAUCCCAUGGCCAUUGCACAAAAGAUAUCCCAAGAAAGUCUUCAUAUUAAAGGAGGCUUAUUUGACCCAUAAGAAUUGACUCAAUUUGAAGAACAAGUAAUGAAGUCUACAAAAUAUUUUGAUUUUAAUUUAUAAUUUAGUAUUCCAUUUUUUUCAAUUAAGUAGUUAUAUUUUAUUUCCAUUACACAUCAACAUUUGAAAAUUAAAAAAUACAUAAAAUUUUCAUAAAACAAUAUAGAGUAAACUACACUCAACUCAACUAAUUAUGGGUGAUUAUUUUUUAUCACCCAAUUAUGAAUUUGUUUAAUUUUUUAUCAUCUAAUUAUAACUUUUUUUUAAUUUGUUCACUCAAUUAAUUGAGAUUUUUUUUUGUCCAUUUUCAUUAAUUGCACUAACAAGAGGGUGUGAAAAAGAAAUAUAAUAAUAAAUUUAGCCCUCAACUUUUACAUAUUAUAUUGAUUUAGUCACAAUUUUUUUUAAAAAAAAACCUUCAAAAUUUACAAAUAGUCUUAAUUUGAUUCUAAUUUUUUUUUAACAUCAAAGGAAUAUAUAGAAAUACAUAAAUAUUUUCAAAAAAUAUAAUAAUAAAUUUAAAUUUGUAUAAUAAUAUUGAUAUUAAAUAAAAAUAACUAUAUUAAUAUUAAAUAAAAAUACAUAAAUAUUUUCAACUUAUUUAAUACAGAAUUUUGUAUUUUUAAAAAUAUUUUUUUAUAAAGAAUUAGGUUUAAAUUGACAAAAAAUUUAAAAGUUGAGGACUGAAAUUGUUAUUAUACUAACUACAAAAGUGUCACUUUUAGCCAUUGAAUGGUUGGGUGAAGAAAAAAAUAAUUUGAAAAUGUUAGUGGCCAAAUUGUAACUUUUUUUAAUUAAUUGAGACAUCCUUUGUUUUUAAAGAUAUGGAUUAAUUCACAUUUAUUUGGGUUAAUGUGUUAUUAUAAGAUUAAAAUCCAAAUAUCGUUUUUCUUCUUUUCAUUCCCGCGACUGGUUCAGCUUUUAUCCUCACGCAUCUUUGGUUUUUUUCUUCUUUGCUUUUCCAGUGCUUUUCAUUUGAUCAGUACUUCUUCAAAAGCCAAUAGCAAUGCCGGAAGAAUCGGACACAUAUCAUUCACGUGUCCUUACCCAAGUUGUGUCGGAAAUUUUUUUAUAUGUUGGAAAGAUCAUCACAUGUAUUUAUGUUACAUACGCAUCACAAUCGGCAAAGAGUUUAGUGGAGUAUUAAGCUUGUUAAUUAAUGGUACUUCCAACAUUGGGUUGAGGGAGGUGAUUGUAAUAUACAGUUGGUGUCAUUAUUUUUUAUGUUUUAGAGUUGCGCUAAAAUGAUAAGAUAGAAACUUAAGGGUUAUGUAUACAGAGUGUAAUACUUUAAUAACUUUUUUUUAAUAUUAACCAUUAGAAUUCAUCUAAUAAGAAAGAAAUGGCAUUCAGUUGAAGUUCACAAUGAAGAAUGAUUAUGUCAGUCUAUAUGGCUACCACUUUUCUUUUCUACUACUUUUCAUAAAGUUUAUAGUUAUUUCUAGACAAGCAUAUCUUAUACAUGUCCAGAGGAUAAGUUAUUAAACUAAAAACUAUUCUUUUUCUAAACUCAAAUUAAUCAACAGAAUUCAUGUAAGUUCAACAUAUGCUUCACUUUGCUUUUUUCCUUAUAACUCACUAAAAUUUGUCUUCUCUCUCAAGGAAAAGAAAAAGUAGGUGGUAUAUACUAACGAAUAAAUGGCAUUCAAUUUAAACACUCACAAUGAUGAAUUUUCAAAUGAACUCCUUAAAUAGAAAUGAAUUCAUUUAUUGCUCCAUUAAUUUUCUGUUGGGUACUGACCUGAUUAAGUAAUGAACAAAUAAAAACAGUGAAAGAAAUUGAGAAAUUGGACACAUAAAUUUAAAGUGGAAAAACUCUUCCAAAGAGGAUAAAAAAAUCACGGACAAAUAUAAUUUUACUAUAAUGGCAAAAAAACGAAGAAUACAAAAGAUGAAGAUAAAAACUAAACCCCGAAACUCGAAAACAAAAAACCUUCAAAACGUAAAUACAAAAUUCUCCAAAACUGUUAUGAGAUCUAAUCUUUUUGAGUGUAUUUUCUAAGGUUGUAAAAGAACUUAUUUAUAGGCUAAAUUCGUAACUCAAAUAACAAUAAAAUAAUCUACACUAAUCAGAGUUCGAAACUGGGAGCCAAUUGUUUUGCAAACACAAUGGCUAUGGAUGGAUGGAAAGUUUAUGGUUAAACUAUUCUCUUUAAAUUAACAUUAAUAUAAAAUAAAAUGUAAAUUAAUUUAAAAUUUUAAAAUAAUUUUAUUAUAAUUUUUAAAUCAAGCACUUUGAUAUGUUAAAAUUAACUAUAAAAUAAUUUAGGAAUUUAUUAACCACAAAAAUAAUUUAAAAACUUGUGUCAACAAAUGAAGAGUGCUUUUAAUAAAGUUGAUAUUUAUUUCUAAACAAAUGAAGAUUUCUUUUAAUAAAGUUGAUAUUUAAUAAAAUUUUAGUUUUAUUUUUUAAUCUUUUUUAACCUUUGAUUAAUGAGCAGAAUUCACAUACUUUGUUUUUGCUUAUACCUCAAUAAAUUUGUCUUCAAUUUAACGAAUAAAUGGUACAUAAUAACAAAUAAAUGGCAUUCAAUUUAAACAUUCACAAUGCUUAAUUUUCCAUUAGGCCACCAUUCUAUAUCACUACCAAUUGGCCAUGCAGUUUCUUGAGCUGUAGCAGAUUCUUCCACUAUAAUUUCAUCAUCUGAUUGGCUUGCCUGCAAAGCAAAUUAAACCUUCACUUAUUACUGUUUGCUUUUGAUGAUUGAUGAUGAAGAAAGCAAAGCCAGUUUUCCAAAAUUGGACAAAGGAUGACAUAUUAAGAACAAGAACUGUGAAUUGACAAUAAUAAUGCAACAAGGAUAUCUAGAAAGAAAUAUUGACAGCCACUUGAUGCAAACUGAUUACAGUUAAUGCAAUUUCAAUUAGUCAUUUAAAGCAUUAAAAAAAAAGAAUUUCUCUCAGGCAGCCAAAAUAAAAAUAUUGCAUCAAUGCAUAGAAAUUAAAGCUUAAUAUUGGGAGAAUACAUAGAGAAAAUAAUUGAAUGGAUGAAUUUCUGUUUUAAAGCUUAUUGUUGAGUUUUGAAGAGUAGUGUACUUGAGUUUUGAAGAGUAGUGUACCUGCGUUUUCGCAUGCACUGAUUUCUCUGAACCAACACUAAAUCUUGUGGUCAUGUUGGGACAACCUUUUACUUGUAAAUACGUCAAAAAUGGGAAAACAAAUUGGUAACCCACAGGACUAAAGCUCACGAGGUUUGGUAGCUCAACAAGCUUUAAGAAGCGGAGCAGAGGUAGGCGUAUCACUUUCUCUUCUUCCUCAUUCAGAUUUGUCUCAUCUCCUUCAAACACCUGCUCUAAUUUGGAGACCUGUCUAAGGCAUAAUCCACUUAGUUUUGGAAGGCCGCCAUGAACAAGAGGAAUCGGGAAGAGACAUUUCAAGUUUUCACAGUUAAUGAUUGUAAUCCACCAAAAAUUAGGGAAGCAAAUAGGUUGGAGAUGAUGUUGUGACGGAGUUUGAUCCUUCUCAAUUAUUUGCUCCAAUUCCUCACAGUCAGCUAUAUGCAACCACGACAAUUGUGGCAAAUUUCGAGCGAUGGUAGGUGAGAAGAUGUAUCUUAACCUUCUGCAAUUGCGGACUUGCAAUCGAGUGAGAUUUUGAAAGUGUUCAACUUGAAUGGGACCACUCCAUAUCACCCGCAAUUUAGUUAGUUUGGACAACGUUAGCUUCUCCAGACUUGAAAGAUUAUAUCUAGGAUAUUCAAAUAACUCUUCAAAAUUGGAAAUUGAUGUUCCUCCUCUCCUUUCAGGGACUGUCACGUUGCUUAUUUGCUUCUUUUCUAUCAUCUUCGAAAAGUACAAUACCUAUAAACAUAUCAUCAAUUUAAGAAUAAGCACAAGAUUUCUUUUUCAAUCUUUUCUAGUCAAAGAAUUCAAAUUUUUAAAAAGUUUACUGUUCAACUCAAAUAAUCAUAAAUUACAAAAAAAAAUCUCCAAAAAUAUGGUGCAAAAACACAACAUAAAUAAUAUUACGUAGUACUAGCUAGUGUUUGCAAUAUAAGAAACAUAAAUAAUUAAUAUAUAUUUCUCAUAUAGAUUAUAAAAGUAUUCAGUUGAAAUGUUAUUUAUGUUACUAAUUGGUAUUGUAAUUAACUAAACUACUUAACGGUUUAUUUAGAUUAGUUUUUAGACCAAAAUUCUACAAUGAAAACUAUUUUUUAAAGAGUUAUACAAGCAUUUAUUUAUUUUAUACAGAAAAAAUCAAAAGGUGAAAAUUUGAAUAAAUAAUAUAUAUAAGGUGGUCUUACCUGUAUAUUAGUUGAAACGAUAAUAGGUGUCAAUUGAGGACAAUCUCACUUUUAACAAGUGUAAAGAUGCCGAUGUCAGCACAAUGUAGUUUCUCUCCCUUCCUUUCAAUUGAGGCAAAUUAAUCAACUCAACGUUUUUCAAUCGUGCAAGACCUUGAGACAUUGAGAUUAACACUUCAUCUGGUCCUUGGAUUAUUUCUUGUAAUUGGGAACAACUCUCUAUCGUCAGAGUUUGCAAUUGCCCAAGACUAUUAGCAACACACAUUGGGAAGAGAAAUUUCAACUUAUUGCAUUCUGUGACUCGUACUUCCCUUAGGCAUUGGAAGCUUAUGGUUGAUACUUGUGAGUCUUGGAUUAUUUCUUCCAUUCCAAAGCACCUCUCUAUCAUCAGAGUUUGCAAUUGCCCAAGACUAUUAGCAACACACAUUGGGAAGAGAAAUUUUAACUUAUUGCAUUUUGUGACUUGUACUUCCCUUAGGCAUUGGAAGCUUAUGGUUGAUACUUGUGAAUCUUGGAUUAUUUCUUCCAUUCUAAAGCACCUCUCCAUCCUCAGAGUUUGCAAAUUGGGCGCGUUUAGUUGUUUAGAGCUACCUUGGGCAACAAUAAUUGGAAAGAGAGAUUUCAAGCUUUUACAUUGCAAGAUAUCAAGUAGAAUCAGAUUUGGAAAGCAAAGAGGUAGGGGAUGAUGUUGUGAUGACGUUUGAUAUUGCUCCAAUUCCUCAUAUUUACAUGAAUGCAAAUUGCUCAAUUGUGCAUUUG